AUCAUGGCUCAGGAUGAACGCUAGCUACAGGCUUAACACAUGCAAGUCGAGGGGAAACGAUAGAGAAAGCUUGCUUUUUCUAGGCGUCGACCGGCGCACGGGUGAGUAACGCGUAUCCAACCUGCCCACCACUUGGGGAUAACCUUGCGAAAGUAAGACUAAUACCCAAUGACGUCUCUAGAAGACAUCUGAAAGAGAUUAAAGAUUUAUCGGUGAUGGAUGGGGAUGCGUCUGAUUAGCUUGUUGGCGGGGUAACGGCCCACCAAGGCGACGAUCAGUAGGGGUUCUGAGAGGAAGGUCCCCCACAUUGGAACUGAGACACGGUCCAAACUCCUACGGGAGGCAGCAGUGAGGAAUAUUGGUCAAUGGACGAGAGUCUGAACCAGCCAAGUAGCGUGCAGGAUGACGGCCCUAUGGGUUGUAAACUGCUUUUAUAAGGGAAUAAAGUGGGAGUCGUGACUCUUUUUGCAUGUACCUUAUGAAUAAGGACCGGCUAAUUCCGUG
This 504-nucleotide ribosomal RNA is filed under the name uncultured bacterium. RNAcentral's name for it is "bacterial SSU rRNA". It matches the Rfam family "Bacterial small subunit ribosomal RNA", at positions 16 to 507 of the family's 1533-position model. The record is from RNAcentral.